This 253-nucleotide ribosomal RNA is filed under the name uncultured bacterium. Its description in RNAcentral is "partial 16S ribosomal RNA". It matches the Rfam family "Bacterial small subunit ribosomal RNA", at positions 524 to 776 of the family's 1533-position model. The record is from RNAcentral.
GACGAACCGUGCGAACGUUGUUCGGAAUCACUGGGCUUAAAGGGCGCGUAGGCGGGUUCGCAAGUCUGUGGUGAAAGCCCCCAGCUUAACUGGGGAAGUGCCGUGGAUACUGCGAAUCUUGAGGAGGGUAGGGGCAUCUGGAACGGUCGGUGGAGCGGUGAAAUGCGUUGAUAUCGACCGGAACUCCGGUGGCGAAGGCGAGGUGCUGGACCCUUUCUGACGCUGAGGCGCGAAAGCCAGGGGAGCAAACGGG